GACGAACGCUGGCGGCGUGCUUAACACAUGCAAGUCGAGCGGAAAGGCCCUUUCGGGGGUACUCGAGCGGCGAACGGGUGAGUAACACGUGAGUAAUCUGCCCUUGGCUUUGGGAUAACUACCGGAAACGGUGGCUAAUACCGGAUAUGACCAUGCUCGGCAUCGGGUGUGGUGGAAAGUUUUUUCGGCCAGGGAUGUGCUCGCGGCCUAUCAGCUUGUUGGUGGGGUAAUGGCCUACCAAGGCUUCGACGGGUAGCCGGCCUGAGAGGGUGACCGGCCACACUGGGACUGAGACACGGCCCAGACUCCUACGGGAGGCAGCAGUGGGGAAUAUUGGACAAUGGGCGGAAGCCUGAUCCAGCAACGCCGCGUGAGGGAUGACGGCCUCGGUGUUAACGUA
This 400-nucleotide ribosomal RNA is filed under the name uncultured bacterium. Its description in RNAcentral is "bacterial SSU rRNA". It matches the Rfam family "Bacterial small subunit ribosomal RNA", at positions 28 to 427 of the family's 1533-position model. The record is from RNAcentral.